UCGAAUAAAGUUCUAGAAAAAAAUUGAUAAUGACAGUUUUUUAUCUAUAAGUCUUGACCAAAUUACGUGCCAGCAGUCGCGGUAAUACGUAGAAGACUAGUGUUAUUCAUAUUUAUUAGGUUUAAAGGGUACCUAGACGGCAUUAUUAGCCCAAAGAAGGGUACGGUUUUGCUAGAGUUUUAUAAGAGAAGGAGAGUAUUUAUGAAGUAGAGAUGAAAUUUUUUGAUAACAUAGAGACUGCCAACAGCGAAAGCGACCUUCUAUGUAAAAACUGACGUUGAGGGACGAAGGCUUGGGUAGCGAACAGGAUUAGAGACCCUAGUAGUCCAAGCAGAAAAUUAUGAAUGCCAUAUAUAAAUGAAAAUGUAAGCAUUCCACCUUAAGAGUAAUGCGGCAACGCAGGAACUGAAAUCAUUAGACCGUUUCUGAAACCAGUAGUGAAGUAUGUUAUUUAAUUCGAUGAUCCGCGAAAAACCUUACCACACAAGCGUUGCACGGCUGUCUUCAGUUAAUGUCGUGAGAUAUUGGUUAGUUCCAUAAAAUUAACGAAAACCC
RNAcentral lists this ribosomal RNA (555 nucleotides) under Epiglia gloeocapsae. RNAcentral's name for it is "SSU rRNA". It matches the Rfam family "Bacterial small subunit ribosomal RNA", at positions 434 to 1105 of the family's 1533-position model. Lineage: Eukaryota; Fungi; Ascomycota; Leotiomycetes; Leotiales; Mniaeciaceae. The record is from RNAcentral.